ACACGUGGAUAACCUACCUAUAAGACUGGGAUAACUUCGGGAAACCGGAGCUAAUACCGGAUAAUAUUUUGAACCGCAUGGUUCAAAAGUAAAAGACGGUCUUGCUGUCACUUAUAGAUGGAUCCGCGCUGCAUUAGCUAGUUGGUAAGGUAACGGCUUACCAAGGCAACGAUGCAUAGCCGACCUGAGAGGGUGAUCGGCCACACUGGAACUGAGACACGGUCCAGACUCCUACGGGAGGCAGCAGUAGGGAAUCUUCCGCAAUGGGCGAAAGCCUGACGGAGC
RNAcentral lists this ribosomal RNA (285 nucleotides) under Escherichia coli. RNAcentral's name for it is "partial 16S ribosomal RNA". It matches the Rfam family "Bacterial small subunit ribosomal RNA", at positions 113 to 392 of the family's 1533-position model. The record is from RNAcentral. Lineage: Bacteria; Pseudomonadati; Pseudomonadota; Gammaproteobacteria; Enterobacterales; Enterobacteriaceae.